GCUAAUAAAAGAUAAAAAUAAAAAAAGCUGAUCUCGUGUGAUCUCAGAAACUAAGCAGGGUCGGGCCUGGUAGUACUUGGAUGGGAGACCGCCUGGGAAUACCAGGUGCUGUAAGCU
This 117-nucleotide ribosomal RNA is filed under the name Labrus bergylta (ballan wrasse). Lineage: Eukaryota; Metazoa; Chordata; Actinopteri; Labriformes; Labridae. The record is from RNAcentral.